RNAcentral lists this long non-coding RNA (1227 nucleotides) under Bos indicus x Bos taurus (hybrid cattle). Its description in RNAcentral is "lncRNA (ENSBIXG00005002237.1)". Lineage: Eukaryota; Metazoa; Chordata; Mammalia; Artiodactyla; Bovidae. The record is from RNAcentral.
GGGAAGGAUAUAUCCUGGCCCAGUGGCAAUGAAGCCAAUGGUUUGGGGUCUGGGAGGAAGAUGGAUGGCUGUGGCUUCCUCAUGUGCACUCUGUCGGGGAAUGGAUCCCACAUGUAGGAGUAGCCAAUCUCACCAGCAUCCCCACCAGCCAUCACCUUACUGGGAAGCUGCCAUCUGAUUUGAGAAUGCAUUCACAUCUCCUCUGAUGCUCCCGUCCUCACAUCUAGGAAGUGAAUUGAGAAAAGAACAACAAUGAACAAAAUCCCUCCCACCGACAAGAUCACAGAACCAUGAGAAUCCUUCAUAAAGUACCUGGCAGCCAGGACAAAAGUAGUAGCUUGUGGAGGGAACACUGUUGGACUCCAAUGUUACACACUCACACCAGAGUUUGCAGACUAUUCAGGAAGGAGGAAAUCAACUGAUGAACAAAUUAAACGGAUUUUUUUUAAGGGGAAAAUAACUCUUAGAAAUAAGGUUUCUGAAGCAAGAAACAAAUAUCCUUACUUGGAUCUGAUCAGAGCCAAAGGGACCUAGAGCAGAGGCAGGACCUGGCUAGUCCAGAAGACAGUCCCUGAACUCCACUGGCUGAAGAUACUGGCCUGCUCCCAGGUUAGGAGGAACUGGCACCUGCAACAUCAAUGUAUCUUUUAGAGGUCGUCUUUCCCAGGUAUGGACUAAGAACUGAUUUUUUAACCAAGUAUGGUUUCUAUUAUUUUUAUCACACCCUCCUGUCAUCUUCAUAAACUUCUGGGUUAAAAGUUCUCCUUGGGUUUAAUUCUCUAUGGAUAGAUUUGCCAAAUUUGCCUGGCUUUCAGAAUCAUUCUAGCGACCAGAGUAGGAAGCACAAUUCAAUAGGGAAUCACUUCCUUUUCAUCCGCAAGUCCCCAGCGUCUAGCACAGUGCCUGGCACACUCCGAGUGUUUGGUGGUAUACAUAAACUUCUGAGCCGAUCCCAGCGUUUCUUGGCAACUUCUCCUCUGCUCUUCUGAAGCUUUUCCGCUCCUGGCAUGCGAGUCUGUUUAACAGCCCCUGAAGGUAUCUGGCUUACUCUUACUACUUCAUGCCUCAAUCUGAAGUAAUGUUCCCUUGUUCCCUUCUCUUUCUCUGCUCUCCAAAUGGAACAUUCCCAUAAAUCUUGCUCAGAACUCAGAUUCUCUGGGGAACUACCUUGAUGGUUUAGUAUCCUUUUUCUUUUGGGCUCGUUAGUGACUAUGCAGUGCCACAAAG